RNAcentral lists this unclassified non-coding RNA (253 nucleotides) under plant metagenome. RNAcentral describes it as "partial contains small subunit ribosomal RNA, internal transcribed spacer 1, and 5.8S ribosomal RNA". The record is from RNAcentral.
UUUCCGUAGGUGAACCUGCGGAAGGAUCAUUAUAGAGUUAGGGUCUUCUAGGCCGAUCUCCCAACCCUUUGUUUACUUAAACCACCGUUGCUUCGGCGGGCCCGUCUUCAUUGACCGCCGGAGGACCGUAAAAACGUCCUCUGGUCAGCGCCCGUCGGUAGCCAACCAUUACAAACUCUUCACUAAACGUGUCAUUAUCUGAAUAUUAUAUUAAAUAAAGCAAAAACUUUCAACAACGAAUCUCUUGGUUCUG